Molecule: ribosomal RNA, 750 nt
Filed under: Nocardioides sp.
Lineage: Bacteria; Bacillati; Actinomycetota; Actinomycetes; Propionibacteriales; Nocardioidaceae
Description: bacterial SSU rRNA
Rfam family: Bacterial small subunit ribosomal RNA
Source: RNAcentral
UCGAGCGGCGAACGGGUGAGUAACACGUGAGUAAUCUGCCCCAGGCUCUGGGAUAGCCACCGGAAACGGUGAUUAAUACCGGAUACGACAACCGAUUGCAUGAUCUGGUUGUGGAAAGUUUUUCGGCCUGGGAUGUGCUCGCGGCCUAUCAGCUUGUUGGUGAGGUAAUGGCUCACCAAGGCUUCGACGGGUAGCCGGCCUGAGAGGGUGACCGGCCACACUGGGACUGAGACACGGCCCAGACUCCUACGGGAGGCAGCAGUGGGGAAUAUUGGACAAUGGGCGGAAGCCUGAUCCAGCAACGCCGCGUGAGGGAUGACGGCCUUCGGGUUGUAAACCUCUUUCAGCACAGACGAAGCGCAAGUGACGGUAUGUGCAGAAGAAGGACCGGCCAACUACGUGCCAGCAGCCGCGGUAAUACGUAGGGUCCGAGCGUUGUCCGGAAUUAUUGGGCGUAAAGGGCUCGUAGGCGGUCUGUCGCGUCGGGAGUGAAAACCAGGUGCUUAACACCUGGCCUGCUUUCGAUACGGGCAGACUAGAGGUACUCAGGGGAGAAUGGAAUUCCUGGUGUAGCGGUGAAAUGCGCAGAUAUCAGGAGGAACACCGGUGGCGAAGGCGGUUCUCUGGGAGUAUCCUGACGCUGAGGAGCGAAAGUGUGGGGAGCGAACAGGAUUAGAUACCCUGGUAGUCCACACCGUAAACGUUGGGCGCUAGGUGUGGGAUCCAUUCCACGGGUUCCGUGCCGCAGCU